GACGAACGCUGGCGGCGUGCUUAACACAUGCAAGUCGAACGGAAAGGCCCUGCUUUUGUGGGGUGCUCGAGUGGCGAACGGGUGAGUAACACGUGAGUAACCUGCCCUUGACUUUGGGAUAACUUCAGGAAACUGGGGCUAAUACCGGAUAGGAGCUCCUGCUGCAUGGUGGGGGUUGGAAAGUUUCGGCGGUUGGGGAUGGACUCGCGGCUUAUCAGCUUGUUGGUGGGGUAGUGGCUUACCAAGGCUUUGACGGGUAGCCGGCCUGAGAGGGUGACCGGCCACUUGGGGCCUGGGUUCCGGCCCAGCUCCUUCCGGGGGGCAGCGUUGGGGAUUUUGCCCCAUGGGCCGGAGGCCUGUGCCACAACCGCGCGUGGCGGAAGGCGGGCCUCCGGUUGUUAACCCGCUUCCGCCUUUGAGGAGGCUGGGUGGCCGUUAUUGGUUAAGGAGGCCCCGGCUACUACCGU
This 467-nucleotide ribosomal RNA is filed under the name uncultured bacterium. RNAcentral describes it as "partial 16S ribosomal RNA". It matches the Rfam family "Bacterial small subunit ribosomal RNA", at positions 28 to 506 of the family's 1533-position model. The record is from RNAcentral.